UACGUAGGGGGCAAGCGCUAUCCGGAUUUACUGGGUGUAAAGGGAGCGUAGGUGGCAUGGUAAGCCAGAAGUGAAAACCCGGGGCUCAACCCCGCGGAUUGCUUUUGGAACUAUCAGGCUGGAGUGCUGGAGGGGUAAGCGGAAUUCCUAGUGUAGCGGUGAAAUGCGUAGAUAUUAGGAGGAACACCGGUGGCGAAGGCGGCUUACUGGACAGAAACUGACACUGAGGCUCGAAAGCGUGGGGAGCAAACAGG
This 254-nucleotide ribosomal RNA is filed under the name uncultured bacterium. RNAcentral's name for it is "partial 16S ribosomal RNA". It matches the Rfam family "Bacterial small subunit ribosomal RNA", at positions 524 to 776 of the family's 1533-position model. The record is from RNAcentral.